UACAGAGGGUGCAAGCGUUAAUCGGAAUUACUGGGCGUAAAGCGCGCGUAGGUGGUUAGUUAAGUUGGAUGUGAAAUCCCCGGGCUCAACCUGGGAACUGCAUUCAAAACUGACUGACUAGAGUAUGGUAGAGGGUGGUGGAAUUUCCUGUGUAGCGGUGAAAUGCGUAGAUAUAGGAAGGAACACCAGUGGCGAAGGCGACCACCUGGACUGAUACUGACACUGAGGUGCGAAAGCGUGGGGAGCAAACAG
This 252-nucleotide ribosomal RNA is filed under the name uncultured bacterium. Its description in RNAcentral is "partial 16S ribosomal RNA". It matches the Rfam family "Bacterial small subunit ribosomal RNA", at positions 524 to 775 of the family's 1533-position model. The record is from RNAcentral.